GCUGUUAAAAAUAUAUGCAUGUACUAUUUAUUUAAUCAAAUAUGGGAUAUAUGAAUUCUCAUUCUUGUUAAAAAAAUAGUACAUGCAUAUAUUUUUAACAGCUUUUGAAUGUAUCUCGAAGACAUUAAAUUCCUGCCGAUCUCCAAAUAAAUAAAAUUUAUGAGGAUUGAAUUUACAAGAUCACUGCAUCUAUUCCACUUUUCCUUCCACCAGAAUUUCAUAGUCUUCUUGGUCUGUUCUUGUAGUGGACAACUCUGAAAGAAGCAUGACUGAAGCCUCAUCGGCAGUUUCUUGAUGCAGCUGGGGGAUAUCUGAGUUGCCCGGCAUGACGGUACCAGAAGGCACUGCAGGCUGUUCUGUGCCAAAUUUGGUCCAUUUCCUGUCCUUGGCAUAAAUUAAAGUAGGGUAUAAGAUGAACCCCAGAACAAUAACUGCACCACUAAUUAAGAAAGUCCUCAAAGAAGCUAAGCACAUAACAAGAACAAGCAAUGCUGCAGGAGGCAGACAAAGCAUUGUUGCACCAAAUGUUCCCAGUGGAACUUUAUAAGGCCUGUGAAGUUCUGGCUUUUUUAGUCUCAGUUUUAUAAAAGCUGCAAACUCAAGAAGCAUCCCUAUGGCAUAUAAGAAGUUCAGAAAUUCCAGGAUUUCCUGGAAACUCAUCCAUGACAAGAAGAUCACUCCAGUAGCAGAGCACAGUAUGCUAACAGUGGGUGUCCCAUAUUUUGAUCUUGAAGCAAAAAUAGCUGGGAGCAUUCCCAUCUCGCUCAUGCCAAGAAGCUGGAAGGCAUCUCCACUCAUUUCUGCUUCAAACAAACCUAAGUUUGACAUAGCAGAAGCCACUUGGAUCCACCAUUUAAGCCAAGCUCCUCCAAUCAACAUCCCAACUUCUGCAAAGAAUCCAUCAGUCCAUUCACUUGACGAGUUCUUCAAAGCUCCAGUGCCAGCAAGAAGUGGAAUCAAAUAUGAAGAAACCACCAAAAACACAGCCCCGAAUAGCGCCUUUGGGAAUGUCUUGCUGGGAUUUUCAACCUCCCCUGCAAGAGUGCUAGCCUUAUCCCAAUAAUUUAGAUUCCAAAACAUGCUAUUGAAGUAUCCCCUCCAUUCUACCUUCCUAAAAUCUACAGCCACCCAUCGUUUAGGCCUAAUUCGAGGAAUUGAAAGAAUACCCAUUACAGCAAAUGGACAUAGUGAGAAAACAGCAAGGGAAACAGCUGAAAAUCCAACAAUGUGUAGUCCUCUAUAGUUCAAGUAUGUCAAACCUACUGUGAUACAUAAAAGUGCUGGAAUUCGAUAAAUUAAUUGGUUAAAAAUGGGAAGUGAAUGCUUCAAGUAAUCAAGAAACAACACAGGGUAAAGGGCAUUAUCCAUGACCCCACUAAACCAUUUCCAAAACCCUUCUUGGAAACCCCAGAAGUGACCAAAAGCUGAAGAUAUCCAAAUAACAUAUCCACCAUUUUCAGGGAAGCUUGUGGCUAACUCUGCUGUGACUAGAGCCUCAGGAACACUCCAAAUUAAAGGGAAUAUCAAGAAACCAAGCAAAGACAACAAAGGGCCACCUCCUGCCCUCACUG
This 1571-nucleotide unclassified non-coding RNA is filed under the name Hevea brasiliensis (rubber tree). Lineage: Eukaryota; Viridiplantae; Streptophyta; Magnoliopsida; Malpighiales; Euphorbiaceae. The record is from RNAcentral.